GCGGGCUGUCCGGCCCGCAGGGCGGUCGAGGUGGGAACGGAGCAGCCCCGGGGGCCCCCUUGAGGCGUUGAGGCCGCGAAGGGCGCGGGGCUGGAGGCCCGCGGCGCCAUGGCUCACGUCGGCUCCCGCAAGCGCUCGAGGAGUCGCAGCCGGUCCCGGGGACGGGGGUCGGAAAAGAGAAAGAAGAAGAGCAGGAAGGACGCCUCGAGGAACUGCUCGGCCUCCACAUCCCAAGGUCGCAAGGCCAGCACGGCCCCUGGGGCGGAGGGUGAGGACCACAGGCAUCGGGGAGAGGAGGCGCAGUUACUCCCCGGGGAAGUCGGGCGAGCAGUGGUCGGGGACGCUCAGUCAUGCCUCUGUGCAGCCGGGCCUGAGAUGUGAGGGCCAGGCGCCGCAGGAGCCAGGAAGGGGCUCCUCUGGGAAGCUCCAUCUCUGUUCUGGAAAGCUCCUCAGGAAGCGCUCACCCUGUAGACGGUCUGUGCCUGCCCCAGGCCAGAGCAGGGGACGAAGGUUUACCUCUUCCCCUCCUGGCCUUCCAGCCUCACCUUCUCCCUGCAUCACAGAGAGAAGCAAGCAGAAGGCCCGGAGGAGACCAAGAUCCAGCUCCUCCUCCUCUUCUUCCAGUUCUCCUAGCUCCUCUUCUUCCUCCUCGUCCUCCUCCUCUUCCUCCAGUGAUGGCCGGAAGAAGCGGGGGAAGUAUAAGGACAAGAGGAGGAAGAAGAAGAAGAAGAGGAAGAAGCUGAAGAAGAAGAGCAAGGAGAAGGCGGAAGCACAGCAGGUGGAGGCUCUGCCGGGCCCCUCGCUGGACCAGUGGCACCGAUCAGCUGGGGAGGAAGAGGAUGGCCCAGGUAUUGUGCUGCCCAGCACCUGGGAGGGAGAAGGUCGCUUCCCAAGGCCUGGCCACCACCUCCGUCUUCCCUUCCAGUCCUGACGGAUGAGCAGAAGUCCCGAAUCCAGGCCAUGAAGCCCAUGACCAAGGAGGAGUGGGAUGCCCGGCAGAGCAUCAUCCGCAAGGUGGUGGACCCCGAGACGGGGCGCACCAGGUGGGGAGCUUUCGGCCUGACUUACACCACAGGAUCUGGGAGUGUUGGCUGAAGAUGUGUGCUCUCGGGAGGAGUGGGGCCGGGCGGGGUUCCUGGUGCCUGAAAAAGGCCAAAUGUGGGCAAAAAUAAGGUCACUUGGAGUAAGUAGUUGCAGGGGUGGAAGGGCCUGGAGGAGGCUCUUGAAAGGGCUGUUGUUGGCGGGGCUGAGGCUGGCAAGGCAGAGCCCAGCUCCACUGCCUUCAUCAGGGAGAGUGGGUGAGGCCCCAGGGUCUGUCCACUCAAGGCUGCGGGGCGGGAGCCCUGGGACCCCUCUGCCGGCUGCUUGUGGUUCUGCUCCUCUGGCAUUAGGGGACCUGCCUAUUCCUUGCUGAACGGAGACCCUCCCACCCCCAGGCUUAUUAAGGGAGAUGGCGAGGUCCUAGAGGAAAUCGUAACCAAAGAACGACACAGAGAGAUCAACAAGGUGGGUGUGGCCCCUCUGCCUGCCAUCUGCCCCCAGCUCUGUUUGUGAUGUACCCCUCCUCCUGUGUGCUUUCUUCCCCAGCAAGCCACCCGAGGGGACGGCCUGGCCUUCCAGAUGCGAGCUGGGUUGCUUCCCUGAGGGCCCCCGCUGGCCAAGGCCUGUGGACGGCGCUGGCGGCCCAGCCUGGGCAGGUUUCAGGGUGCCAGUGGGAAGCCUGAUGGGUGCUGGUGGCCUUUCCCCCAUGGAUUGGUCUCUGGCCCAGCCCAGUCUCUUCUUAGGGGCAGGGGGUGGAGGUUGGGGUCACCGGCCUGCUUGGCACCCCCAUCUGAAAGAGCAGCACUUCUCAGCUAUU
This 1858-nucleotide small RNA is filed under the name Pan troglodytes (chimpanzee). RNAcentral's name for it is "retained intron". Lineage: Eukaryota; Metazoa; Chordata; Mammalia; Primates; Hominidae. The record is from RNAcentral.